This 201-nucleotide long non-coding RNA is filed under the name Homo sapiens (human). RNAcentral describes it as "HSALNT0199643". The record is from RNAcentral. Lineage: Eukaryota; Metazoa; Chordata; Mammalia; Primates; Hominidae.
AACGGCGGGGAAAAUGGUGUGCAAUUGUGACUCGUUAUUGUUUUUACACUGUUAUUUUAAUGUUACUUUAAAAGUUUUCGGUCCGGAGAAAAACCUUGUUUGUUGUUGUUGCUGCUACUGCUGUUGGUUUUUGGUAGAGACGUGAAAGCUAACUCUUAAGUAGCUCGACAGUUAUUUUGGACGAAUGACUGAAACCAGAAA